CAUAUGGUGUGAGGGAGUUUUGCGCUCCCCCACCAAGUUGAACCAUAACAUCUUACAAUCUCUCAAAAUGUGAGUCAUUCACAUCCUACAUAUUUUCACAGCUCUAAUUCUAAUACCAUUUGUUGGAAAGCUUGGAGGAGCACGAGAGUAACAACAUGUCAAAUGUUUCAAGAUCUAUAAGAAAUUUUGACAUUAUAUCUUAACUCAACACUUCAAGGCAUUAUAUAUAUGGGUCACCUUUCUUCUAUAUCCAACAAUUCCUCUUAUGCCCUAUGAAUCUAUCUGAAAUUGUUACAUGCUGCAUUAUGAUAUCAAGGUCAUUGAAGGGAUGAUGUUGGUGUGACACUAGUUUUUCUUUUCCUUUUUUCUGGUUUACAUGAGUGUUGAAAAUUUUGGGGUGCCUAGCAUCGCGGACAACAAUUUACAACUACAGAGCAUGUCUUUAUUAGUUACAAAACACACUUGAGAAUAAUAAAUAAACUAAUGCUAUAUAACAAAUAGGGCAUUUUGAGAAUCAGAACUCGGGACCUCUAGCACCCAAAGCUAGAAUCAAACCACUGGACCAAAUGCCCAAAUUGAAAUAAUAAAUGAUAGGUGAUCUAUGUUUGGUUUACUAUUGAAAUUGUUUAUUCAUACUACAUGGUCUACAGUUGUAUUGUAAGAUGCCAACAGCAACCAGCUGCUAAGUGGAUGUUGCUCCUGGGUCUUCUCAUGAUACUGAGAUCAUUGGAUGAAGCUACCGAUACCUGAAGCUAACAUGUUUUUCUAGGUAAGAUAUCAAAGAGAAUCACUAACAUAGUGUGACACAAGUACUAGAUAUUUGAGUAUCUACAAUAUUUGGUUCGGGAUUAGAUCUUUAGUCAGUGUGUUUGAAAAUAUUUAUUAGAAGUAAACUUUUAGAUGGGUCUAGUAGUUCUUUAGUUGUCCGUGGGUAUGCUUUGGUUUACAGAAUAAAAUAAAAUAGUGCUAUAAUGCAUGUUACAAUAUGUAGCCAAGUUCACGUAGUAUCUAAGAUAGUCUGCAAUGCAUAGUUAUUUAUGACUCAUGUUUUAAUUUUCAGAUUUAUCAUUAAAGAUAAAGUUUGAUAAACUAUGGCUCACAACAGUCUUCUUUGACCAUGACCACUAUGUGUUUCAGCCAACAUCAAUAAACUUUUCCUGGAUCCCAUCAUUCAUCUACACAAGGCAGUCACAUGCAUUACCUGAUGGUAAUUAUUAUUUAACUAGUACUAGUACUAAACACAACCGGUAUAAGUCAAUUUUGACAGCUUCCGGAUCUUAAAAAACUAAAAGUAUAAAAAAUUAGGCGUAUUAACUAAUCAAUUAAUAAGUCAACCUUGUCAACUUCAGAUCUUCAACAAUAAAUUAAAAACACUUAUGCUUAUUUGUAUUUAACUAAAAUAUUGAGAAGUUAAAUUCCUAACCUUAAAAAAGGGGCAUUCCGAGAAUUGAAAUCAGGACUUCACGCGCCCAAAUCGAGAAUCAUAACACUAGACCAAAUGCCCUCAUAUGAAAAGUUAUUGUUUAUGAAUGAAUUAGUUCAAGAAAUUUUUAUAGCGAAAAUUUGAAUUUAGACCUCUGAAUUUUACAACAUGUCAUCACUCAUGGGUAGCAUUUACAUUUUAAUAACGUUUUAGUGUGAGAGUGGUGUUGCAAAAUUAACAUUUACAUGACUAUUAAACAACAACAAUUAAGCUUUAUCCCACUAGGUGAAGUUGACUACAUGGAUCAAAAGUCGUUGUAAUGUUCCAACAUAAAUCAUACAUAUAGCCAAAAUAUGGACCUCUAGGCAUUUGUUGAUAGUUUUGUCGGUAGUUUCUUAUGGUUUUUCUCUACAUCCAGCAGCGACUGAGCCACCAUCCAUAUGAUUUAUUCUCCUUACAAAAUCUACAAAUUUCCUCCACAUAUGUCCAAACCAACUAAUUAGAUAUGUAACCAUCUUAUCUACAAUAGGUGCCUAGUACGUUACCCCAACUCUUUCUCUUUAAUGAUAUUAUUCCUAAUCCUAUCUUGUCUAAUUUUCACUCAUUCGGUGCAACUGGACCUCACUCCUGCUACACUGAAUAUUUUCGUGUUGGCUUUUUACCGCCCAACACUUCAUCACUUAUAGAACGCAACUAUUUCACAUUGUUGUAAAAGAAAUUUUGUCAACUGUCGUUGCAAGGGAAGAGUCUGUCAUUAGGACAUAAGUCUGGCUACUGAUAAUUAUUCAAGUAUCACAGCAUUCAUCUCAAGGCAUUCACAUGAUAUAAAUAAAAGUAAUGCUUAUUCCUAUUGAAUAACCAAUUAAUAAUGAUAACCUUCCAUAGCAUAAUCAAAACAAUAAAAUAAAAAAUAAAAAAGGAGGGGGGCAUUCCGAGAAUCGAACUCAGGACCUCUCGCACCCAAAGCGAGAAUCAUACCACUAGACCAAAUGCCCUCAUAUAAAAAGUGUUAGUUUUUAAACAAGUUAGUUGAGAGAUGCAACUAAGAUUGCAAGACAGUAUUUUGACCUUCCAUUUACUUGUUAGUAAUUUGAAAUUAACACAAAUUUUAGAGCUUGUUUACUUUCUAAAAUCAUUUUUAGUUUAGAACAUAAAAAACUGAAUAAUUUUAGAGAGUAAACAAGCUCUACAAUUGCAAGAAGUAUUUUGGCCUUUGUUGUUUCCAUCUAAUACACCCAAAAAAUUCAACUUCAUCAUUUGCUUUCUUUGUUUGUUUAUUGUUAAAUUUCAUUUUAGAUUAUCUAUAUGGCCAAGUACCAUAAAGUUAAAUUAUCAUCCAUUUCUUGUGCUGGAACUUGCAGUUGCUAUUGAUGCCGCUGAUUAUGAGAAUUUACCUGUCUCCAGAAGUGAACUUCAUAACUUGUUGAGCAUACCUUCUUUAAAUGGAAUCGCCAUAAUUGACAAACUUGCUGCUUUGUCUGACUGAACAAGAUCUGACAGAAAAUAUAUGUGCAGGGGACUGAAAUCUAUCAGUAAAAGAGAAGUUUGUUGCUUCAAGAUCUCAAAAACUCCACUAACAUUGGUUUUUCAAGACAUUCUAAAGCAAAGAACUGAAAUUCAGCUUCUUCCCUAUGAAUGAACCUAUUUGAAUCUUGCAUUUCUGACUGAUAACUUUUUCAACAUCUCAAUGAUGCCAACAGCAACCAGCUGCUAUGUGGAGUUGGCCCUGUGUCCUCUCAUGAUACUGAGAUCAUUGGAUGAAGCUACCGAUACCUGAAGCUAACAUGUUAUUCUGGUAAAAUAUCAAAGAGAGUAACUAACAAAGUGUGAUACAAUUACUAGAUACUUGAGUCCCUAAAAAAUUUGGUCGGGGAUUAGAUCCUUAGUCGGUGUAUAUGAAAAAAUAUUUAUUAGAAGUCAACUUUUAAAUGGAUCUCAUAGUUCUCUAGUUGCCUGUGUGGAUACUUUGGUUUACGCAAAAGAAAAGUAUCAAAGAGAGUCUAAUUAGUUAUUUAUGAUUCAGGUUUUAA
This is a long non-coding RNA of Cicer arietinum (chickpea), 3453 nucleotides long. RefSeq lists it as uncharacterized. The record is from RefSeq and is a predicted model, not a curated record. Lineage: Eukaryota; Viridiplantae; Streptophyta; Magnoliopsida; Fabales; Fabaceae.